Molecule: transfer RNA, 69 nt
Filed under: Urocitellus parryii (Arctic ground squirrel)
Lineage: Eukaryota; Metazoa; Chordata; Mammalia; Rodentia; Sciuridae
Also listed under: 2 other names
Description: Spermophilus parryii (Arctic ground squirrel) tRNA
Rfam family: tRNA
About the family: Transfer RNA (tRNA) molecules are approximately 80 nucleotides in length. Their secondary structure includes four short double-helical elements and three loops (D, anti-codon, and T loops). Further hydrogen bonds mediate the characteristic L-shaped molecular structure. tRNAs have two regions of fundamental functional importance: the anti-codon, which is responsible for specific mRNA codon recognition, and the 3' end, to which the tRNAs corresponding amino acid is attached (by aminoacyl-tRNA synthetases). tRNAs cope with the degeneracy of the genetic code in two manners: having more than one tRNA (with a specific anti-codon) for a particular amino acid; and 'wobble' base-pairing, i.e. permitting non-standard base-pairing at the 3rd anti-codon position.
Source: Rfam by way of RNAcentral
GGGGUUGUAGCUCAGUGGUAGAGCGCUUGCCUAGCAUGCGUGAGGCCCUGGGUUCGAACCUCCGCGCCA